This 495-nucleotide ribosomal RNA is filed under the name uncultured bacterium. Its description in RNAcentral is "partial 16S ribosomal RNA". It matches the Rfam family "Bacterial small subunit ribosomal RNA", at positions 28 to 507 of the family's 1533-position model. The record is from RNAcentral.
GACGAACGCUGGCGGCGUGCCUAAUACAUGCAAGUAGAACGCUGAAGGAGGAGCUUGCUUCUCUGGAUGAGUUGCGAACGGGUGAGUAACGCGUAUGUAACCUGCCUGGUAGCGGGGGAUAACUCUUGGAAACGCUAGCUAAUACCGCAUAAGAUUAUAUGUUGCAUGACAUUUGCUUAAAAGGUGCAAUUGCAUCACUACCAGAUGGACCUGCGUUGUAUUAGCUAGUUGGUGGGGUAACGGCUUACCAAGGCGACGAUACAUAGCCGGCCUGAGAGGGGGAUCGGCCACACUGGGACUGGGACACGGCCCAGACUCCUACGGGAGGGAGCAGUAGGGAAUCUUCGGCAAUGGACGGAAGGCUGACCGAGCAACGCCGCGGGAGUGAAGAAGGGUUUCGGAUCGUAAAGAUCUGUUGUAAGAGAAGAACGAGUGUGAGAGUGGAAAGUGCACACUGUGACGGUAUCUUACCAGAAAGGGACGGCUAACUACGUG